RNAcentral lists this ribosomal RNA (407 nucleotides) under uncultured bacterium. Its description in RNAcentral is "bacterial SSU rRNA". It matches the Rfam family "Bacterial small subunit ribosomal RNA", at positions 355 to 776 of the family's 1533-position model. The record is from RNAcentral.
UCGAGAAUCUUCCGCAAUGGGCGAAAGCCUGACGGAGCAAUGCCGCGUGCAGGAUGAAGGCCCUCGGGUUGUAAACUGCUGUCAUCGGGGACGAAAAAAAUGACGGUACCCGGAGAGGAAGCAACGGCUAACUACGUGCCAGCAGCCGCGGUAAUACGUAGGUUGCGAGCGUUGUUCGGAUUUAUUGGGCGUAAAGGGUUCGUAGGGGGUUGAUUAAGUCUGACGUGAAAUCCCGGAGCUUAACUCCGGAACUGCGUUGGAAACUGGUCGACUAGAGCGUCGGAGAGGGGAGUGGAAUUCCUGGUGUAGCGGUGGAAUGCGUAGAUAUCAGGAGGAACACCGAAAGCGAAGGCAGCUCCCUGGACGACUGCUGACCCUGAGGAACGAAAGCGUGGGGAGCAAACAGG